RNAcentral lists this long non-coding RNA (2898 nucleotides) under Lactuca sativa (garden lettuce). Its description in RNAcentral is "long non-coding RNA (LSAT_LNC006628)". Lineage: Eukaryota; Viridiplantae; Streptophyta; Magnoliopsida; Asterales; Asteraceae. The record is from RNAcentral.
AGCAUACAAAUACCUCAGCAUAAAUUUAUUCAAUUACCAACCAGUCAUGGAAAAUGUAAAAUGUAUAGCCUCUUGAAAAAAGAGAGAAACAUGGAUCGUUUUAUUUCCAAAUUGAUAGAUACAAAGUAAAUUACAGUUUAGGAUUUUAAACCAAUAUAAACCAUUUUGAACACUAAUAUUAUACAUUAACCUUUCCAAUUUCUGCUACUCGUUUUCCCACGUAUCAUUUGCUUUCAACCUUCAUUAACACAACAAACAAAUGAAACCAAGACAAAUAUCAAUAAAAUUUGAAAGAUACAUAGUAAAUUACCAUUAAGGAUUUGAAAGAUAUCUAAAAAGGUCGAUUAAUCAUUAACUAAAUAUAAAAUCCAUAUAUCCUUCCUCUCUUGCCUGUAAAAAUGUAAGUAUGGUGCUGUAAUAGAUAAAAAAUUGAAAUAUGGAUGUUGUCAUAGUCAGAAAAUAAAAAAAAAAUAGCAUGUUAUUAUAAAUAAAUAAAGGAAAGUUAUCUGGUAUACAUUAACCGAAUUUAAGAGUGAGAUGCUAUAACUUGAUAUAUUUUCUCGUAAAUACUUUGAUUUAAUAUAUGAAAGUUACCUGGCAUGUACUGCAUAGUUCUGACCAAGCUUCUCAACUUCAUCCAUCUCAUAAUAUCUAAUACAUGGGCUGGCUUUAGUAAAACCAAAGCACCAAAAUUAAUUAAAAGUAGUAAAACCAAAACUGUUAUAAGUUCUCUAGUCCAUCCUACAAACAAACCAAUAACAGUUUGCAUAAAAAUACGUCAACUUUUACAAGUUUAAACAUCAAGAGGUGCAAAACCAAAAGUGUACGUUAUGUUUAUGCAUCCAAAAACUUAACAUAUGAUUAAACAUCAUCUCCAAAUUUUGGACAUGGUUGUUUGAACUCCAUAUUGAGUAGCUCUUUUGCACAUGAUAUGUUUACAUCUUGAUUCGCUUCCUAACUUUAAAUUGAGCCCUAAAAAGUAGUUGUAUGGUCAUUAAGUAGAACAUGAUUUACUAAAGUAAACAAUCAUGCAAAAUAAAGACUCUCAUACACAGACCCAAACAUACAUCACCUGAAAUAAUACAAAUGAACAUAAGCACUUGUAGCUCCAAUUACCUAAGCUUUUAUACCAAUACCAAAAAACAUAAGCACUUUUAAAAAAUAAUACAAACCAAAAAUAAUAUCUACUUUAAUAUGUAAACUACUAAGACAUAGUGUGAUAACUCGUUAAAACCUCGCCACUAAACCAAAAUAAAGACUCUUAUAGGUAUCAUGUAACUGUAUUUUACUUAAACAUAUAAUCAAACACCUUUAGGUCACUUGAUAAAUUCACACUUUUACCCUGGAUUAUCACAAAAGAGUCCAAUUUGCAAUCAUCCACAUCAACAAAUUUGUAGAAAAAAGAGACUGGGACACCAUAAUAAAAUCUAAUACCAAAAUCUUAACUAAUAGAUUAAGCCAAUCUUACAUCUGAUUCUUGCUUGAGACCUUCAAAUCCUAGAUGUAUCCAAGAGACUUGCUCAUACAUUCAUGUAAUCAGAAAUAAGAAAAUGAUUCAAACGAAAAUGAAAACCAACCUACCAUUUUUCCUAAAUUCAUGUAAUUUGAACUUAAGAUUUGUACAAGAGAGCAAAACCGAUAUAAAUUAGAAACAUAAAAUGAUGCAGGAAAUUGAUGAAAAAGAUGAAACAUAUUAACAAAAAUCUUAUAAAACUGCAAAACAGGAGAAUGAAAUGGUGUGGAAGACAAUCCAGGCAAUGUAUCGUACAUGAAUAAAGAAAAUGACCUUCUUCCUUGUGUUUCUUUUCUCCUUCGUAUUUAUCUCAUAUAUGCACAGAGAGCACAGUAACUAAAGUGAUUUAACUCAUCAUACGUUAGAAAUUGGGAUUCUACGUAAUAAAUGUAGUGUACAUAAUCAAAAUUAUCGAACAACUAAAAUUGAGUGUGAGGUAGAGAUAGAAAGAACCUAAAUGAAUUAAGGGGAGCAAAUCCAAUGGUUUUGGAUAUAUUUACAGAUCUUCAAAAGUUAGAUGAUUUUGAAAUCCAAAAUCCCCCGAAAAAACCAAAUUAAUCCUCUUUAGGUGAAGAAUUUUAAAAACUGUACCAACAAUAAAAACCAAUCAGAAACAACAUAACCGAGAUUAUUGUAUAGAAUCAAAAUUAAAGGUUGUAUCGAUUAUUGAAAAUGAGAAAAAUUACAAGGAACCAAGUAUAGCUUUAAAGGAACCCAUAAUUUUCCAUCGUUGUUUACAACAUUUUGGAGCUAUCUUGAAUGGCGAGAAGGAAUGCAACAAACCGUUGAUGGUUCGAUAGAGAUGGUGACGAUGGAUAGUUAACAACGGUGAUGGUGGACAUCUGUGAGGUUUACCAAGUGGUGGUUAGCGGUUUGACCGCCAUGAGUGAUGGUUGUCGAUGGCGACACUAAACAGGGUUGAUGGUUGGUGAUGGUGACAAUGAGAAGAGUGGGGAUAGGGUUUUUAGAAGGGCUAUCGUGCGGUGUUUGUGAUGAAGGACAAAGAUGGCUUGGAAUCGAUAUCAAGAUUGAAUGGCUGUGAAAGGAGUGUUGGAAUUGAAGAGGCAACGAUGGUGAUAUGGAAUCCAGGGAUCUACAUAUCCUCGACGGUGCUUCCAAUUCUUGAAAUACUUUAGUGCUACCGACUGCUUAGUGUGACUGAAGAGAGACGGCGAAGAUAAUGAGGGUUGUAAUUCUUGAAAUCAGUUGAAGAGAUAUACAGAAUGUCGAGCCAUAAUGGAGAAUGCAGAUAACUUUGCCGAGAUCUCAGGAUUCAACAUAGACUCCGGAUUAAAGGGUUAGUUUAGUCGAUAUUUGUCAAACUGAGGAGGUAGAAUAAAAAAGAUUGGGUCAAAAAUUUAGAAGAGAUAAGAUUUUCAAAUUUU